GGAGAGGUGUCCGAGUGGUCGAAGGAGCACGAUUGGAAAUCGUGUGUACGUUUAACAAAUGUACCGAGGGUUCGAAUCCCUCUCUCUCCGCCA
This 93-nucleotide transfer RNA is filed under the name Gammaproteobacteria bacterium. Its description in RNAcentral is "tRNA-Ser". It matches the Rfam family "tRNA". From Rfam's summary of the family: Transfer RNA (tRNA) molecules are approximately 80 nucleotides in length. The record is from RNAcentral. Lineage: Bacteria; Pseudomonadati; Pseudomonadota; Gammaproteobacteria.